Molecule: ribosomal RNA, 1421 nt
Filed under: Streptococcus salivarius
Lineage: Bacteria; Bacillati; Bacillota; Bacilli; Lactobacillales; Streptococcaceae
Description: bacterial SSU rRNA
Rfam family: Bacterial small subunit ribosomal RNA
Source: RNAcentral
AGCUAAUACAUGCAGUAGAACGCUGAAGAGAGGAGCUUGCUCUUCUUGGAUGAGUUGCGAACGGGUGAGUAACGCGUAGGUAACCUGCCUUGUAGCGGGGGAUAACUAUUGGAAACGAUAGCUAAUACCGCAUAACAAUGGAUGACUCAUGUCAUUUAUUUGAAAGGGGCAAAUGCUCCACUACAAGAUGGACCUGCGUUGUAUUAGCUAGUAGGUGAGGUAACGGCUCACCUAGGCGACGAUACAUAGCCGACCUGAGAGGGUGAUCGGCCACACUGGGACUGAGACACGGCCCAGACUCCUACGGGAGGCAGCAGUAGGGAAUCUUCGGCAAUGGGGGCAACCCUGACCGAGCAACGCCGCGUGAGUGAAGAAGGUUUUCGGAUCGUAAAGCUCUGUUGUAAGUCAAGAACGAGUGUGAGAGUGGAAAGUUCACACUGUGACGGUAGCUUACCAGAAAGGGACGGCUAACUACGUGCCAGCAGCCGCGGUAAUACGUAGGUCCCGAGCGUUGUCCGGAUUUAUUGGGCGUAAAGCGAGCGCAGGCGGUUUGAUAAGUCUGAAGUUAAAGGCUGUGGCUCAACCAUAGUUCGCUUUGGAAACUGUCAAACUUGAGUGCAGAAGGGGAGAGUGGAAUUCCAUGUGUAGCGGUGAAAUGCGUAGAUAUAUGGAGGAACACCGGUGGCGAAAGCGGCUCUCUGGUCUGUAACUGACGCUGAGGCUCGAAAGCGUGGGGAGCGAACAGGAUUAGAUACCCUGGUAGUCCACGCCGUAAACGAUGAGUGCUAGGUGUUGGAUCCUUUCCGGGAUUCAGUGCCGCAGCUAACGCAUUAAGCACUCCGCCUGGGGAGUACGACCGCAAGGUUGAAACUCAAAGGAAUUGACGGGGGCCCGCACAAGCGGUGGAGCAUGUGGUUUAAUUCGAAGCAACGCGAAGAACCUUACCAGGUCUUGACAUCCCGAUGCUAUUUCUAGAGAUAGAAAGUUACUUCGGUACAUCGGUGACAGGUGGUGCAUGGUUGUCGUCAGCUCGUGUCGUGAGAUGUUGGGUUAAGUCCCGCAACGAGCGCAACCCCUAUUGUUAGUUGCCAUCAUUCAGUUGGGCACUCUAGCGAGACUGCCGGUAAUAAACCGGAGGAAGGUGGGGAUGACGUCAAAUCAUCAUUCAGUUGGGCACUCUAGCGAGACUGCCGGUAAUAAACCGGAGGAAGGUGGGGAUGACGUCAAAUCAUCAUGCCCCUUAUGACCUGGGCUACACACGUGCUACAAUGGUUGGUACAACGAGUUGCGAGUCGGUGACGGCAAGCUAAUCUCUUAAAGCCAAUCUCAGUUCGGAUUGUAGGCUGCAACUCGCCUACAUGAAGUCGGAAUCGCUAGUAAUCGCGGAUCAGCACGCCGCGGUGAAUACGUUCCCGGGCCUU